CAACCCCUCAAGCUUUAGCUUGGUGUUGGGCCGUGCCACUGCCCUCGCGGCGCCGGCAGGCCUUAAAAUCAGUGGCGGUGCCCGCUGUGGUUCCAAGCGUAGUAAUCUCUCUCGCUCUGGAGACCUGGCGGCUGCUUGCCAGACAACCCCAUCUUCUCAAA
This 161-nucleotide unclassified non-coding RNA is filed under the name uncultured Scytalidium. RNAcentral describes it as "sequence contains ITS2". The record is from RNAcentral. Lineage: Eukaryota; Fungi; Ascomycota.